Bombina bombina (fire-bellied toad) is the source of this 273-nucleotide long non-coding RNA. RefSeq lists it as uncharacterized. NCBI's taxonomy places the organism in Eukaryota, Metazoa, Chordata, Amphibia, Anura, Bombinatoridae. The record is from RefSeq and is a predicted model, not a curated record. The transcript has 3 exons.
GCCAUCUCGCCAGCGCUGGCAGAUGAGGAGGUGGCUGAAACACUAUCUGACCAGGAAUCCAUCCCGGGCACUGCUCCUGCAAUCUUUCCAGCACUGGCAGAGGAUGAGGUGGCUGGAGGAGAAUCUUGCGAUCAGGAGACACAGACUGAGCCUUUCCUGGCGGAGGGUCUCCAGACUGUCGCCACUGCAGUGCAGGGGAUACAGGAGGCCAUACACAAUUUUUUGUAAAAAGUUUUAAGUUUGUGGAAAAAAAAGUUAAAAUUUAUUUAUAAU